CCUACGGGUGUCAGCAGUGAGGAAUAUUGGUCAAUGGGCGCGAGCCUGAACCAGCCAAUUAGCGUGAAGUAUUACUGCCCUACGGGUUGUAAACUUCUUUUAUAAAGGAAUAAAGUGAGGCACGUGUGCCUUUUUGUAUGUACUUUAUGAAUAAGGAUCGGCUAACUCCGUGCCAGCAGCCGCGGUAAUACGGAGGAUCCGAGCGUUUUCCGGAUUUAUUGUGUUUAACGGGAGCGUAGAUGGGUUGUUAAGUCAGUUGUGAAAGUUUGCGGCUCAACCGUAAAAUUGCAAUUGAUACUGGCAGCCUUGAGUACAGUUGAGGUAGGCGGAAUUCGUGGUGUAGCGGUGAAAUGCUUAGAUAUCACGAAGAACUCCGAUUGCGAAGGCAGCUUACUAAACUGCCACUGACAUUGAUGCUAGAAAGUGUGGGUAUCAAACAGGAUUAGAUACCCUUGUAGUC
RNAcentral lists this ribosomal RNA (460 nucleotides) under uncultured bacterium. RNAcentral's name for it is "partial 16S ribosomal RNA". It matches the Rfam family "Bacterial small subunit ribosomal RNA", at positions 338 to 795 of the family's 1533-position model. The record is from RNAcentral.